GACGAACGCUGGCGGCGUGCUUAAUACAUGCAAGUCGAGCGAGGCCCCUCCUUCGGGAGGGUGUCCUAGCGGCGAACGGGUGAGUAACACGUGGGCAACCUGCCCUCAGCUCUGGGAUAACCCCGGGAAACCGGGGCUAAUACCGGAUACGACCACAGCGGGCAUCCGCUUGUGGUGGAAAGAUUUAUCGGCUGAGGAUGGGCCCGGCGGCCUAUCAGCUAGUUGGUGGGGUAAUGCCACCAAGGCAACGACGGGUAGCCGGCCUGAGAGGGCGACCGGCCACACUGGGAC
RNAcentral lists this ribosomal RNA (291 nucleotides) under uncultured bacterium. RNAcentral's name for it is "partial 16S ribosomal RNA". It matches the Rfam family "Bacterial small subunit ribosomal RNA", at positions 28 to 319 of the family's 1533-position model. The record is from RNAcentral.